RNAcentral lists this long non-coding RNA (303 nucleotides) under Mus caroli (Ryukyu mouse). Its description in RNAcentral is "lncRNA (MGP_CAROLIEiJ_G0005418.1)". Lineage: Eukaryota; Metazoa; Chordata; Mammalia; Rodentia; Muridae. The record is from RNAcentral.
AUGACUUCCUGGAUUGUGUUGCUGGAGAUGGCUCUCUGUGGACUCCUGCAUCAAUGUUUGCCUGGCAUGGGGGCAGAGCAGUGGUAUGUUUCUAGCUGCUGUCCCAGCCUAAAGGACUUAAUUAUGUGUGAAGAGUUGAAACUGGAUUAUUUCUUGUUUCUUGAAUGGUGUAUGUUCCAGGCUUUGAGCCUUAGCCUACCUGAAACUCUUUCUUGCUAUCUACAGACAACCUUACGUUUCUGGGAUCAUCUCAAAUGCUGUUCCUUCUAUAAAUUAUUUGUUCUAUAAGUGACCCUUAGUUGA